Long non-coding RNA from Salvia splendens (bonfire salvia), 157 nucleotides. RefSeq lists it as uncharacterized. The transcript has 2 exons. The record is from RefSeq and is a predicted model, not a curated record. NCBI's taxonomy places the organism in Eukaryota, Viridiplantae, Streptophyta, Magnoliopsida, Lamiales, Lamiaceae.
GCGCCACCGACUCCUCAGCGUCUUUGCCUUUGUUGCAUUCGUCGCAAUUUUCGUGUAGAAAAAAUGCGACUAUAAUUUUGUACGUUAUGGAUACGUUUUAUUACUAUUCUAUUUUUCUUGAAUGACAAAUAAUUUGAUUAUUGAUUAUUAUCUUUAA